GUAACAAGGUUUCCGUAGGUGMACCUGCGGAAGGAUCAUUAUUGUAUAACCGAGGUGCGAGGGCUGUCGCUGACCCGAAAGGUCGUGCACGCCCGAGUGCCCUCACACACAUCCAUCUCACCCCUAUGUGCACCACCGCGUGGGUCCCCCUUUGGCUUGUUCGGAGGGGGGCUUACGUUUUCACACAAACUUUGUAUGCAGUGUAGAAUGUAUUUUUUGUUUUUGCGAUCACGCAAUCAAUACAACUUUCAACAACGGAUCUCUUGGCUCUCGCAUCGAUGAAGAACGCAGCGAAAUGCGAUACGUAAUGUGAAUUGCAGAAUUCAGUGAAUCAUCGAAUCUUUGAACGCACCUUGCGCCCCUUGGCAUUCCGAGGGGCACACCCGUUUGAGUGUCGUGAAAUUCUCAAAAACCUUUUUCUUUUUGGGAAAGGGUUUUUGGACUUGGAGGCUUUUUGCUGGCUUCACCUUGAAGUGAGCUCCUCCUAAAUGAAUCAGUGGGGUCCGCUUUGCCGAUCCUUGACGUGAUAAGAUGUUUCUGCGUCUUUGGGUUUGGCACUGCCACCUGCUUCUAACUGUCUCAUUGACAAUGAUGGUGCUCCGGUCACCACCGCUCUUAUCGGUGGGAGGCUUGACCCACAAAAACAAAACCUUGACCUCAAAUCGGGUGAGACUACCCGCUGAACUUAAGCAUAUCAAUAAGCGGAGGAAAAGAAACUAACAAGGAUUCCCCUAGUAACUGCGAGUGAAGCGGGAAAAGCUCAAAUUUAAAAU
RNAcentral lists this unclassified non-coding RNA (773 nucleotides) under uncultured Russula. RNAcentral describes it as "sequence contains ITS1, 5.8S rRNA gene and ITS2". The stretch from base 244 to 397 matches the Rfam family "5.8S ribosomal RNA". Lineage: Eukaryota; Fungi; Basidiomycota; Agaricomycetes; Russulales; Russulaceae. The record is from RNAcentral.